AGAGUUUGAUCCUGGCUCAGGACGAACGCUGGCGGCGUGCUUAACACAUGCAAGUCGAACGGUAAGGCCCUUCGGGGUACACGAGUGGCGAACGGGUGAGUAACACGUGGGUAAUCUGCCCUGCACAUCGGGAUAAGCCUGGGAAACUGGGUCUAAUACCGAAUAGGACCACAGGACACAUGUCCUGUGGUGGAAAGCUUUUGCGGUGUGGGAUGGGCCCGCGGCCUAUCAGCUUGUUGGUGGGGUGAUGGCCUACCAAGGCGACGACGGGUAGCCGGCCUGAGAGGGUGACCGGCCACACUGGGACUGAGAUACGGCCCAGACUCCUACGGGAGGCAGCAGUGGGGAAUAUUGCACAAUGGGCGCAAGCCUGAUGCAGCGACGCCGCGUGAGGGAUGACGGCCUUCGGGUUGUAAACCUCUUUCAGCACAGACGAAGCGCAAGUGACGGUAUGUGCAGAAGAAGGACCGGCCAACUACGUGCCAGCAGCCGCGGUAAUACGUAGGGUCCGAGCGUUGUCCGGAAUUACUGGGCGUAAAGAGCUCGUAGGUGGUUUGUCGCGUUGUUCGUGAAAACUCACAGCUUAACUGUGGGCGUGCGGGCGAUACGGGCAGACUUGAGUACUGCAGGGGAGACUGGAAUUCCUGGUGUAGCGGUGAAAUGCGUAGA
This 669-nucleotide ribosomal RNA is filed under the name uncultured bacterium. RNAcentral describes it as "bacterial SSU rRNA". It matches the Rfam family "Bacterial small subunit ribosomal RNA", at positions 8 to 694 of the family's 1533-position model. The record is from RNAcentral.